GCUUAACGCGAAGAACCUUACCAACCCUUGACAUGCCGUGCUAGACCGAGAGAUCGGUUGUUCCUUCGGGACGCGGACACAGAUGCUGCAUGGCUGUCGUCAGCUCGUGUCGUGAGAUGUUGGGUUAAGUCCCGCAACGAGCGCAACUCUCUUUUCAGUUGCCAUCAUUCAGUUGGGAACUCUGGAAAAACUGCCAACGAUAAGUUGGAGGAAGGUGGGGAUGACGUCAAGUCCUCAUGGCUCUUACGGGUUGGGCUACACACGUGCUACAAUGGUGGUGACAGAGGGCACCGACCUCGCGAGAGGAAGGAAAUCCUUAAAAGCCAUCCCAGUUCGGAUUGUACUCUGCAACUCGAGUACAUGAAGUCGGAAUCGCUAGUAAUCGCAGAUCAGAAAGCUGCGGUGAAUACGUUCCCGGGUCUUGUACACACCG
This 433-nucleotide ribosomal RNA is filed under the name uncultured bacterium. Its description in RNAcentral is "bacterial SSU rRNA". It matches the Rfam family "Bacterial small subunit ribosomal RNA", at positions 954 to 1392 of the family's 1533-position model. The record is from RNAcentral.